This is a long non-coding RNA of Physeter macrocephalus (sperm whale), 606 nucleotides long. RefSeq lists it as uncharacterized. The record is from RefSeq and is a predicted model, not a curated record. Lineage: Eukaryota; Metazoa; Chordata; Mammalia; Artiodactyla; Physeteridae. The transcript is spliced from 5 exons.
CCGGGUUGGAUUUCGAUGGGGAGGGGACUGGGAGCCCGGCCCGAGGGUGGGUCCGGGACCGUAGGAUCCUUUUGGAUCGCACCUGAAGUUCUCACCGGCGGUUGCCAGAGGCUGCUGGAGACUUGAGUUUUGAGUUUUUCUUCUUUUUAUAUGCCACGCGCUGCUGGUGGGGGGAGGGUCGCGGUUGGAGUGGGGUUAGAGGUGUCACAACCAAGCCACAGAUCGGGAGAAGGAAGGAUUUAUUACUUGCAGCAACUUUCUUGCCGGUCAGACGGGCUUCUCUUCUUCCGGAGUCUUCAGGAACCUCCCCUAUCCAGCCCACCUGUUUGUGGCCUGGCCUCCUCGGAGCCCACCUGUUUGUGGCCUGGCCUCCUCGGAGCACCGUGAGGCCCAGCUUGCAGGAUCUCGGUUCCCCAACCAGGGAUUGAACCUGGGCCACAGCAGUGAAAGCCCAGAAUCCUAACCACUGGACCACCAGGGAGCUCCCUGAGGAAAUGUUUUAAAGUUGAUCGUGGUGAUGGUGCAUAACUCUGAAAAGGCUAAAAACCAUUGAACUGUACAAUUUUAAUGGGCGAAUGUGUGGUAUGUGAAUUAUAUAUCAAUAAA